UUAGAGUUUGAUCCUGGCUCAGGAUGAACGCUAGCGGCAGGCUUAACACAUGCAAGUCGAGGGGCAGCGAGAGUGAUAGCAAUAUUACUUGUCGGCGACCGGCGCACGGGUGCGUAACGCGUAUGCAACCUACCAUCAACAGGGGGAUAACACUGAGAAAUCGGUACUAAUACCCCAUAAUAUCUCAUGCGGCAUCGCAUGGGGUUGAAAACUCCGGUGGUUGAUGAUGGGCAUGCGUUGUAUUAGCUGGUUGGUGAGGUAACGGCUCACCAAGGCGACGAUACAUAGGGGGACUGAGAGGUUAACCCCCAACAUUGGUACUGAGACACGGACCAAACUCCUACGGGAGGCAGCAGUGAGGAAUAUUGGUCAAUGGACGCAAGUCUGAACCAGCCAUGCCGCGUGCAGGAUGACGGCUCUAUGAGUUGUAAACUGCUUUUGUACGAGGGUAAACCCCGAUACGUGUAUCGGGUUGAAAGUAUCGUACGAAUAAGGAUCGGCUAACUCCGUGCCAGCAGCCGCGGUAAUACGGAGGAUCCGAGCGUUAUCCGGAUUUAUUGGGUUUAAAGGGUGCGUAGGCGGUUUGAUAAGUUAGAGGUGAAAUGUCGGGGCUCAACCCCGAAACUGCCUCUAAUACUGUUGGACUAGAGAAUAGUUGCGGUAGGCGGAAUGUAUGGUGUAGCGGUGAAAUGCUUAGAGAUCAUACAGAACACCGAUUGCGAAGGCAGCUUACCAAACUAUAUCUGACGUUGAGGCACGAAAGCGUGGGUAGCAAACAGGAUUAGAUACCCUGGUAGUCCACGCAGUAAACGAUGAUAACUCGUUGUCGGCGAUACACAGUCGGUGACUAAGCGAAAGCGAUAAGUUAUCCACCUGGGGAGUACGUUCGCAAGAAUGAAACUCAAAGGAAUUGACGGGGGCCCGCACAAGCGGAGGAACAUGUGGUUUAAUUCGAUGAUACGCGAGGAACCUUACCCGGGCUUGAAAGUUAGCGACGACGCUUGAAAGAGCGUUUCCCUUCGGGGCGCGAAACUAGGUGCUGCAUGGUUGUCGUCAGCUCGUGCCGUGAGGUGUCGGGUUAAGUCCCAUAACGAGCGCAACCCCUACUGUUAGUUGCCAUCAGGUGAUGCUGGGCACUCUAGCGGGACUGCCGGUGUAAGCCGAGAGGAAGGUGGGGAUGACGUCAAAUCAGCGCGGCCCUUACGUCCGGGGCCACACACGUGUUACAAUGGUAGGUACAGAGGGCAGCUACCCUGCGAAGGGGUGCGAAUCUCGAAAGCCUAUCUCAGUUCGGAUUGGAGGCUGAAACCCGCCUCCAUGAAGUUGGAUUCGCUAGUAAUCGCGCAUCAGCCAUGGCGCGGUGAAUACGUUCCCGGGCCUUGCACUCACCGCCCGUCA
RNAcentral lists this ribosomal RNA (1398 nucleotides) under uncultured bacterium. RNAcentral describes it as "16S ribosomal RNA". It matches the Rfam family "Bacterial small subunit ribosomal RNA". The record is from RNAcentral.